This 492-nucleotide ribosomal RNA is filed under the name uncultured bacterium. RNAcentral describes it as "partial 16S ribosomal RNA". It matches the Rfam family "Bacterial small subunit ribosomal RNA", at positions 30 to 507 of the family's 1533-position model. The record is from RNAcentral.
AGUGAACGCUGGCGGUAGGCCUAACACAUGCAAGUCGAACGGCAGCACAGUAAGAGCUUGCUCUUACGGGUGGCGAGUGGCGGACGGGUGAGGAAUACAUCGGAAUCUACUUUUUCGUGGGGGAUAACGUAGGGAAACUUACGCUAAUACCGCAUACGACCUACGGGUGAAAGCAGGGGAUCUUCGGACCUUGCGCGAUUGAAUGAGCCGAUGUCGGAUUAGCUAGUUGGCGGGGUAAAGGCCCACCAAGGCGACGAUCCGUAGCUGGUCUGAGAGGAUGAAGGGCAAAAUGGGAAAGGAAAAAGGGCCAAGACUCCAAGGGGGGGAGGAGGAGGGAAAUAUGGGAAAAGGGGGGAAAGCGUAAAGAACAAAUACGGGGGGGGGAAAGAGGGCUUGGGGGUGGAAAGCCCUUUUGGUGGGAAAAAAAAAGCAGGAGGUAAAAACCGGGGUGUUGUGAGGGGACAAAAAAAAAAAGCGCCGGCUAACUUCGUG